Non-coding RNA from Podarcis lilfordi (Lilford's wall lizard), 23251 nucleotides. The record is from the annotation of a GenBank genome assembly. NCBI's taxonomy places the organism in Eukaryota, Metazoa, Chordata, Lepidosauria, Squamata, Lacertidae.
CCACCAGCAGCAAAAUCCAUUGCUUAACUGACCCUUUAAGAUGAUGGGGUAAUUUUUCUGAGACAAUGGUCAAGGGUGAUGGAGGGCUGUUGUCCCGCAGCAUCUGGCGGGCCACAGGUUCCCUACCCCUGGGUUAAAGGGAGAAUCCAAAGGAGAGGUGGAGCCCAAUCAAGAAGGAACUACCUCCUUGAGGAGACACACUUCAGCGUCUGUUUCACACAGGGCUUAGCUGAACAAUGGAAUAUGCUAUCACACAUUGUAGUGAUGGCCACCAUCUUGAAGGCUUCAAAAGGCAUUUCAUGAAGGACAAGGCUGGCAGUGGCUGCUAGCCAUAAUGACCACGUUCUACCUCCAAAGUUGGGGUCAGUAAGCCUCUGAGGAUCAAUUGCUAGGGCUCACAAGAGUGCUGUUGAACUUGCAUUUUGCUUGUGGGCUUCACAUGGACAGCUGGUUGGCCACUGCGAGAACAGGAUGCUGGACUAGAUGGGGCCUUUGGUCUGAUCCAGUUCUUAAUGGACCAUUGUGAGCAUUGAAUGGGGGCAAAGCACAGAUCCAUGUUCUCCAUAGUGGCCAGAUUUCAGGCUCCUGCCACAGUGCAUUAUCUAUUUGUGGGACUAAAAGACGAAAACGGAAGGUCCAUAUUUGGAUCUGCUCCCUCAACAUGCACAUAUGGAUGCAAGAGUGAAUGGAUCAUGCCCUGUUAUUCAGCAUAAGAACAUUAUUAUUAUUAUUAUUAUUAAUAAUAAUAAUAAUAAUAAUAAUUUUUUAUUUAUACCCCGCCCUCCCCAGCCAAGGCCGGGCUCAGAGCGGCUUACAAGUAAUAAUAAAAACAAGUUGAAUUAUUACAACUUAAAAACAAAAUUAAAAUACAUUAAAAUAUUGAAACAUUAAAAUAUUAAAAUGUAGCCUCAUCGCAGGAGAAAGGAAAGGAAAAAAGAAAGAGAGGGAGGGAAUCAAAUUGCCUCGAAGCCAAAGGCCAGGCGGAACAACUCUGUCUUACAGGCCCUGCGGAAAGAAAUCAGAUCCUGCAGGGCCCUGGUCUCAUGAGGCAGAGCGUUCCACCAGGCUGGAGCCAGAGUUGAAAAGGCCUUGUCUCUGGUUGAAGCCAAUCUAACUUCCUUAGGGCCUGGGACCACUAGGGUGUUGCUGUUUAUGGACCUUGAGGUUCUCCGUGGGGCAUACCGGGAGAGGCGGUCCCGUAGGUACGAGGGUCCUAGGCCGUGAAGGGCUUUAAAGGUCAAAAGCAGCACCUUAAAUCUGACCCUGUACUCUACCGGGAGCCAGUGCAGUUUGAAAAGCACUGGGUGAAUAUGCUCCCAUGGCAGAGACCCCGUGAGGAGCCUCGCUGCAGCAUUCUGCAGCCAGGUUCUCAAAAACAGUAAAACUAUUGAGAAUAAACCCAAGAACUCUAAGUUGACUUGGUUGUGGGUCAGACUGCCUGCAUGAUAGAAUUAGAUAACUCACGCUGAAAAUAAGAGGAAGGAAAAAAAUCACUUCUUGCUUUAUAAGGAGUUUCAGAGUUUUCAAAAUAGAACACAGCAGAUUUUCAGUGGGAACGAGUGAAUUUAAAACUAUUUUAGAUGUUUUUACCAUAAAGACAGCUCAACCUCUCUUGAGCCCAAGAUAACAUCUUCAAGGGGCAUUAUGUACCUAACUGACAUAAAUAAAAUAUUUUAAUUACAGCUAAUAAGGAUUGGAUUUUUGUUUCUGAGCUCCAUAAUGUCAAAUUUGGCAAGCUGCUGGAAGGAAUCUGCACAAUAGGUUUUUCUAUAACUCACUCCGACUGCUAUGUUCAUGUCAGUUUGACCUUGUAAAGAACACAUUGUGCUUAGAGUCUAAAAAGCACAUUCUAACCAAAUGUUCUUGCCUACAGACUUUUCCCAAAACUUUUAGAGUGCAAUUUGCUAGUACCGCAGGAGAAUGAAAGCAAAAGAGAGAAUCAUAAGUCUGGCUUGUACUUUUAACUUUGUCUAAUGUAAUGCAAGGAGAGAGCUCAUUUGCAUUUGCUUAUGGGUGGAAUUGUUCCGAUUUUGCAUUUGCUACAUGAUCACUCCACCCCAAAGCUUCUUUUUGUGCUGCAGCGUAUAAGAGUGUAAGGUCUCCGUACUGCAUAUAUUUACAUAUGCAGCGAAUGUCCCAUUAAAGUCAGCGUAACUCACAGAACUGCAACUAUUUGCAGCCUUCCAGCGCUAUGACUUGAUUACUCCCAACCUUUUGCCUGCGGGCGUGUUUGUUCCACCCCAAUGAAGGAGGAAGACUCUCAAUACUUCCUCCCAAAGGGAGAGAGGGGAGAACUUUUCCAUAUGGCCUUUAUUAGGCCUCAGGGAAGGGUUACCUAUAAAAGAUGGCCUCUCCCUGAGUUCUUACUGUUUCUUAGUUGUGGCACUUCACCCUUUGAAUAGCUUGGCCAGUUGCCACUUGGGGCUUAUUAGGAAUUUUCCAGUGCAUGGACUGCAUACCCCACAAGUUUCCCAGGAAAAAGGGACACCCUGUUUUUUCACAUGAUAGCACAGCAACCAUCUUGGGUGCUGUGAGCUUGCAUGAUGUCAGACCACGACCUCGCCUCCCCAAAAUGCUUUUUUCAGGGCCGCAAUCUCACAAACACAGCAAAAUGUGUGUUUUGGGGUACUGUGCAAGCAAGAAUGGAGGAAUGGAGGCAGUCCUGAAACCCUUUAAGCAUUUCUUUUUAUAAAAAAACCCCACUGUUUCCAUUUGCAAUUUAAUGCAACAAUGUGUACUCUUUCCAUUGAGUGAUCUUGUUUGCAAAAUUUAUAGCCAAAUCAUAUCUAUCUAUAAAUUUGUUCCCUUUAUGGGACAUUUAUGAAGUCCUCAUUCUGAUUGUUGUCCAAUAUAUCUCCACUUCACUUAAGUAUUUUCACCUUCCACUUGUACUUCUGUUUUAGCUUUGUUGCUUGCUUACACUUUUUUAUUGUAAGAAAGUACAGUGGUACCUCGGGUUACACACACUUCAGGUUACAUACGCUUCAGGUUACAGACUCCGUUAACCCAGAAAUAGUGCUUCAGGUUAAGAACUUUGCCUCAGGAUGAGAACAGAAAUCAUGCUCUGGCGGCACAGCAGCAGCGGGAGGCCCCAUUAGCUAAAGUGGUGCUUCAGGUUAAGAACAAUUUCAGGUUAAGAACGGACCUCCGGAACGAAUUAAGUACGUAACCAGAGGUACCACUGUACAGUGUAAGGAAUAUACAGUAAUGCCAAGGACAUAAUUUAGUAAUCUAGAUGCCUGCAGAACAGCAUGUGCCAAGAAGACUAGAUUAAUUCUUAUGUUCCAAAUGCUCCAUGUCACUUUGGUGACAAAUCUCCCCAAAAAACUCAGGUUAAAUGGUCAUAUAAAGAAGGUUUAGUAAUCAUUGUGUGUUACUAGAGUAUAAGAUUUCAUAGAAUUGGGUAUAAGGAAAAUUCUUGAUUCAGCAACUACCAGUUUUUCCCAAUGUAGUUCCAUUCCUUACAUUUUAUGAGCAAGGACUGCAGUUAAAUGUUUCUUACUGAUAAUGGGGGAAUAUUUGUCCAUCUUUUGCAGCCCCAUCCUAUCCAUAUUUAAGCAAGCCACAUUGUGUUCAAGGACACUGGACUGCAGCUUUUGUGGCAACAUUUGGGUUUUCCAUUAUGGAUUGUUAGAAUGGAGAGCUACUUGAGCUUAGAGAAGGGAGAUUUCCACCCCCAGUGGAAUGCCCACUGCCAAUUCUGCCACCGCUGUCUCCUUUUCCCUUGCCCAAGGCAGCCCCACUUAACUUGAGGAAAGGGAAGCUGAGGCAGCAGCAGUGGUGGUGGUAGCUGAGCCCAUCAACACAAAGAGUUCCAUCUUAACUACAUUUCCUGUGGGGCCUCCCCCUUGGCAGGCAUUUCCAGACAAGUUCCAGGCAGCUAGCAGAAAAAGGCAGAUUUAUGCCCACAAACAGGGGUGGUGGGAGCUGGGCAGUGUGAGGAAAAUUAUGGGCUGAGGAGCAGUUUCUACCUUUUACAUUGAAAAGAAACCCCAUGCAGAUCAGGAUUGGUGCAGUGUAAAUUAGAAAGAUUUAAUAGCAGAAUGUGUCAGUAGUCUGUUUCAACAUUCUGAAGCAUGUCCAACCUUUAGAGGAUGGGAGAAGCUCAGGAGUGGGGAAUACAUUGAAUGCUACAUUGUGAUGUUGGUGCUGUGUAUAUGUGACUGGAAUCUGAUUACAGUGGUACGUUGGGUUAAGAACUUAAUUCGUUCUGGAGGUCCGUUCUUCACCUGAAACUGUUCUUAACCUGAGGUACCACUUUAGCUAAUGGGGCCUCCCGCUGCCACCACACAAUUUCUGUUCUCAUCCUGAAGCAAAGUUCUUAACCCAAGGUACUAUUUCUGGGUUAGCAGAGUCUGUAACCGGAAGCAUCUGUAACCCGAGUUACCACUGUAUUAACGUUUUGUAUGAAUGGUGGGAUGAGUUUCUGUAUAAUUUCCCUUAGUAGUUGUGGGAAUGUGUGUUUAUGAAAUGAGACACAUUGAUGUGAUUUGGGGACAGGGGUGUGUGUGUGUAUUGCACCCACCCACUUCAUUCAGAUAUGCAAUAACCCACUUUUUUUUUUUACACAGUUGAAUGUCUGAAUGAAAUGGUUCAUGAAGAUGGUGAGGGAUGAAUGAUAUGAGUAUAAGAGUUUUGGAUUUGAUAUCCCGCCUUUCACUCCCUUUAAGGAGUCUCAAAGCAGCUAACAUUCUCCUUUCCCUUCCUCCCCCACAACAAACACUCUGUGAGGUGAGUGGGGCUGAGAGACUUCAAAGAAGUGUGACUGGCCCAAGGUCACCCAGCAGCUGCAUGUGGAGGACCGGAGAUGCGAACCCGGUUCCCCAGAUUACAAGACUACCGCUCUCAAUCUGAAUGGUAGAGACUGAACAGAGGCAAAUGCUCAGCUGCUAUCCUUCUUGGAAUAUACUGCAUAGUAUAUAUUUAUCUCCUUAUCCUUGAUACAUAAUUUAUCAGAGGAAACUUUAAAUGUCUUUCAAGUUUUUAAUUUUAAACCAGAUCCUCACAUUCCUUUGCCAAGCAGCCAUAUCCAUCAAAAGUCUCAGGAACCACAAGAAAGCACCCGGUUUCCUUGUUCUGACACUCGGCUGGACAAGCUGGCGAAACCACUGUCAGAAUUAUGUAAAGUUGUAAAUAACUAAGUUUUUAGCUCACAGACUAACACUUCAUCCAGAUGUGAUGCAGAAACCACCAAAAGUUGUCUUCAGAUAUAGAUCUCUAUUGAGGCCCCAAUGAAAGGAACUGUGGAGUAACCACAAAGCUGUGAGAUCAUUUAUGAUAUAAACAACCGUGACAAUAAUGAUUUACUUAAACACUAUCAGUUGGCCAGAGAACCAUAUUGUAUGCACGCAGAGAGGGAAGUAGCUUAAUUCUCUAAGAUGAAGUAUUAAAUAUGUUGUCUCCUUCUGACAUCUAGUGCUUUGGAGAGAGAUUAGUGGCACAAUGCUAUGUAUUCUACAACAGGCACGAGGAUAGUUGUGCCAGAUUCAUCUUCACUAAAUUUGUUCCCAAACUCUUUGUUGGUGGUUCCCAAAAUUGAAAAAUGGAGAGACUGUGUAUCAAACACAACAGCUUCAUUUUAUGAACUGUGUGGUGGCAUUAAAGAAAGAUUUAGUGAUUGUAAUUUAUUCCAGAUUUUUGCUAGAAUAAAAGAGUAUAUUUUCUUAGAUGUUUAGCAAGUAGGGAUGGAAGUUGACGUAACUUUGUCAAACUCUGAAUGACUUUGGUAUUCAAAUGUAAGAGUUUACUUCACCUUCAUGUGUAAUUUACCAUUUGCUACAUCCAUCCUGCAGGUUUAAACAAAGAUGUGACCUUAGCUAGGAGAACGUCUUUCACCUUACCUCUAAGGGUCCAGUAUUCAACAACUGCUUGAACAGGUACCACUCCACUUCUUGUAAGUUUGUAGUCUUCCCAGUGCUAUUUUUUUUUAGAAAAAGAGGUGUCGGAACCAGUGCUCUUUUUCUAGAGACACUCAAGGCUAUGAAGUACAGUGGUACCUUGGGUUAAGAACUUAAUUCGUUCUGGAGGUCCGUUCUUAACCUGAAACUGUUCUUAACCUGAAGCAUCACUUUAGCUAAUGGGGCCUCCUGCUGCUGCCGCGCUGCCAGAGCACCAUUUAUAUUCUCAUCCUGAAGCAAAGUUCUUAACCUGAGGUAGUAUUUCUGGGUUAGCAGAGUCUGUAACCUGAAACGUCUGUAAACCGAGGUACCACUGUACUGGCCUCCCCCCCCCCAACAAGGUUAAAAGUGUGUUGCUUACUGUAAUAACUUCAUGGUGAGUACUGGCACAUUUUCCCCUAACAAAAAAGCACUGCCCAGAGCUCACCAUGGAUGCAUCCCUUUUGCCCACCCAAGAGGUGCGGGAACUGAGUUUUCAGCUGGGAAAAAAAAGCCCCGAGUCCUCCUAUUCUACUGGAAAAUCUGGCCUCACCCUGUAUCAAUCUCUUUUACAGAUCUGACCACCUAACAAAUGACCAGCACCUUGCUCAUGGAAUGGUGCAAUGUUUUGAAGACCUUGCUGUGAAAUCCAGAGAUAGCUAAAAUGCCCAUUAAAGUUCUUGGGAAAGUUCUGGUUUGCUAGCUAGGAGAGUACAACCAUCAAACUAAAAAUCUCAGGUCUGAUAGGUAAUUCCAAAGCUCCGAGAAUGGUGACAAGUCUAUAUAAUAUUAGGGAAAGCCUUUAUGGGGCAGAUUUCAUGAGGCCAGAGCAUCAUAAAUAGAGACCCCUUGUGUGUUUCCUUUGCAUCAAGUAUAGAACUCUUCUCGCUUCCAGCUUUCAAUCCCCUCCUUCAGUAUUGCAAUAUAUUAGCCAGCUGAUCCUUUAAUCUCAAUGUGCCAAACUGGAAUCUUUGUUCUCGAGCAAUGCAUCUUUUCCUAAAGCCUGCAUGCUGUCUCAGAGGCUUAUUGCAAUCUCUGCUGUGACUCCUAAGGUAUUUAAUAUAAUGAUUUACCCGGAACCAAGAUAUGCCCAACUUCUCACAAUUUGAAAUUUGCACUUGAAACAAAUUCAGACUUGUUGGGUUGACUGAAUAUUUUUUUUCUGACAUUCCUCAGCAACAGCUAUUUAUUAUUUAAUACUACUGAAUCCCUAAACCUGGCUCUUUUGGUUUUGUAAAUCUGUCAGCAUCCACAAUAGUUGGCAUUUAACCAUCAGAGAAAGUUGAAUUCGGCUUUAUCAUGUUAUCAGAGCUACUUGCUUCUGUCUAAGGGAGUUUAACCUAUUUUAGAGGUUAUUCUGUCAUACUCAGCCACAUGGAUUAAUUUGGGUCUCAGAACCUGUUUUCAGCAUUCUAAUUCAACACAAGAACAUGUAAAAUGAUAUCAAUUGAUGGAGCCCCUUAGAGCAUGUUAUGGUGCCUUUCUGGGAAACCUGUGGCCAAUGUCUCUACACUGAAGCCAGCCAGGAAAAUGUGACAUUUUUAGUUUUAAACACUGGUGGGUUUUUUGACUGGCUGCCUUAUUGAUUGUUGCAUAAGCCAUGUUGUGAUCAGGUUAUAAAUAUUAAAAAUAAAUGACUAAAAUGAGCCAAAGGAAUCUCACCCAUCACUAUCUAUGGUACCUAUAGUGUUUUAUCUGAAAGUAAGGCUGUCAUCAAUAGAAUUCUCACAAUGGAACCCUUGAACCCUAGAUUGUUUCCACACAUACAUGAGUUUCUAGCUAGAUCAGGGUAAUGAUAAUAAAUGUCCCAUAUUUCUUAAAGUGCUUGGUGGACCACACUGUUUGUGUUUCUGCUGUUUGUGAUUUUAUAAUGCUGAAUGGCAAUAAUUACAGGAUUCUGAAAAUUGCAUAUUCCAGACAGUCAAAGAGCUAUAGAUGUACAACAUGUACAAAGAUGAAAAGAGCUAAAUUAAGAUCUAAUAAAGUAACGUUGCCAUUGUCAUAAAGGCUGAAGAGCUACAAGCCAAUAUUUUCCUUAAAUAAAAAGGACAUUCCAAAAAUGGUUUCUGGAAUAUCAAAAGCAUGUUUAAGCCACUUUGUGGAACUUUAAAAUAAUAAAAGCAAAACAGAUUGAAAUAAAUCAAAUGUAAUUGAAGUCUAAACAAAGAAGGGCUGAAACCAUUAGACAUAUGUGCCAUUAAUUUGACACAGACUAAUAUUUUAUAGUCAGGACAUAGUUUCUCUUGGAAUAUUUAGCAUAAGGUAUUAUUAACACCAGAUACCCAAAGGGGUAUUUAUUCCAAUCAUGUAGAGAUUUAUUUUAUUAUCUGUUAGUUCACUUACAAUCUGUAUGUAGGAACACAUGGAAAGUAGGAAACUUGCACAUGAGGAAAUAGUCAUAAGCAUAUACAAAAUGAAAUAUAUUGAAUAUUAGAAAAUAGUCACCUAGUAUAUAUUGCCUAAUAUGUGUUCAAACAAAGGAAAAUCCAUCAGAAGCAGCAAAGGGCAGCGGCACAGAUUUGUGUUUUUGAUGUGUCCCCCCAAAAUGUUUAUUUUUCACAUGACGCACUCAGAGCAGGUGUGAAUAUUUUCCACUCAGUUUUAAAACUCCUUAUUGUCCUUGAAAAAAUUUAAUGUAUUGGGGAGGCGGGGUGGGGUAGGGUAGGGGAUGCAACCACUAGCAACCUUUAGGAAUUAAGCUAUGAAUAAAGCGUUUACAUUUUUUUAAAAAAUGUAAUCUUUUUAUUUUUUCAAAAACCUUGUAGAACUAUUUGUGAGUGCAUGAUUGUUUAAUUUUCAGGUUCUGCUUAUCUGCAAAAAGGUCCUUAUUUUUCUUCUGCAAGGAAGUAUUUUACUAUGUGUCUUAAUACCUUUUUCAUUGUUGGGAAUAUUAAUUGGCAUGUUGAUAAGUCCCCCACCCCACACAGUGUUUUAAAAGUUUCCAUUGCAUGCAUUUAAAGGAAAUUUUACAUCUAGGUUCAGACCCAACAUGUCUGCUAUGUCAGAUUAAGGGACAUUGAAAAGCAAAACAUCGAGUCAGCUGUAAAUAAAAUUUCCUCCCUCAAGUUUUAUUGUUUAAAUCCAACAGAUAACAGGGUCACUUACAUUUCAAAAUUAAUAAUUCCAGUCCAACGCAGGGCCUUUAUGUUAGCCUGACUGAAAGUUUCUCCCUCAGCUUUUGUCAAGGGCAGAUAUUUAAACAUCCCCAGAAACAACAGACAUUGCAGAUUUUUUUUGAAUAUGCUGGACAAAGUAGAACAUAUUCUUUUCUACUGUCCACUGUACAACCAGCUACAUCAUGGCAGAAUGAAAAUAUCAGAUUCCAUCUGUCUGACAUUAACCUGGAGGUAACUGCAAAGGUGGCUGUGUUUUUAUCAAUAGUAUCUCUUAGAGUGGUGAAUGGCACUAUUUAGUGGGAAGAAACUUCAAGGAAACCCCUUGUUAUUACCGUAUUUUUCGCCCUAUAGGACACACUUUUUCCCCUCCAAAAAUGAAGGGGAAACCUGUGUGCGUCCUAUGGGGCAAAUACAGGCUUUUGCUGAAGCUUGGAGAGUGAGAGGGGUCGGUGCGCACUGACCCCUCUCGCUCUCCAGGCUUCAGGAAGCUAUCAGCAAGCCUGGGGAGCCCGCGGGAGUUCCCGCGGGGCUCCCCACGCUGCGGAUAGUAGCCUCCCGCCCGGCGCACGGGGUGCCCUGAAGCAGAGCGCCCCGCGCCAGACAGACAUCCGCAGUGUGGGGAGCCCUGCGGGAGUUCCCGCAGGGCUCCCCACGCUGCGGAUAGCAGCCUGUCGCCCAGCGCAUGGGAUGCCCUGAAGUAGAGCGCCCAGCGCGCCAAGCAGACAUCGGCCAGCCCCACAAGCUCCGGGGACAGCGGGGAGGCACAGCGCCGCCAUCCCGCUGUUCCCCGACCUGGUUUUGGGGGGGAAAUAAAGGAAAAAAUUUUUUCCUUUAUUUCCACCCAAAAAAUUAGGUGCGUCCUAUGGGGCGGAGCAUCCUAUGGGACGAAAAAUACGGUACAUAUUUUUACAUGGUUGUUUAUUUGCAUGUGUUUUAAAAUUUUAUAUAUGGAUGUUUUAUGAUGAUCCAUGCCUAAUAAAGGUUUGGAGAAGUAGGAGUAGUACAUGUCUGCUAUAACACACAGUGUCAGAUUGAAUGCUAGGAAGAAUAUAUAGCUACCAUAUGCUCACAGGGGAACCCACAAGAAUUUAGAAGUGCCUUCAGAAUUUCUUCUCACCAGUGUUGAAGCAAUGAUUCUUCAGCAUCAACUUUGUUGGACUGGUCAUGUUGUGCAGAUGCCUGAUGAUCGUCUUCCAAAGCAACUACUCUAUUCUGAACUUAAAAAUGGAAAGCGUAAUGCUGGUGGUCAACAAAAGAGGUUUAAAGACUGUGUCAAGGCAAAUUUUUAAAAAUAUAGUAUAAACACCAACAACUGGGAAACACUGGCCUGCGAGCACCCCAGUUGGAGAACAGCCUUUACCAAAGGUGUCAUGGGCUUUGAAGACGCUCGAACUCAGGACACAAGGGAGAAACGUGCUAGGAGGAAGGAACGCUUGGCAAAUCCACACCGUGUUCAACUCCCACCAACGUCUUCACUGUGGAAAGAUGUGUGGAUCCAGAAUUGGCCUCCACAGACACUUACGGACUCAUUGUUAAAACCGUGUUUAUGGAAGACAAUCUUACUCGACUAUGAGUGAUCGCUAAAGAAGAAGAAGAUUUCUUCUCACAGAAGCAAUGGGGUCAUCUGGAAGACAGGCUGGUCUGGUACAUGAACCCUUUGUUAGAUAAUCUAGGUUCAGACAAUCACUGGCCCCAGGUAGUAGUAGUAGUAGUAGUAGUAGUAGUAGUAGUAGUAGAUAAAUAAAGUCAUCCAGUAAAUAUUAUGGCUGUGAAUCCAGGUCUCCUCAACCAAAGUCCAACAUGCAGGCUGCCACACAACCCUUUGCUAUUUCUUGCAUUUUUCAACUUUCCAUGGGGAUGUGGCUCUGUAGUGUCUUUGGGAGUAUGAAUCUGGGGGCUUUGAAAUGAGCCCCUGCAUUUCAAAAUUUACCAUUGCACUACUGCUUACUCAGAUCUCUUCCCAAUAAAGUUUUGUUUAUCAUAGCAAGGAAAUUAAGGGACAAAGAAUCAUAGAAUCAUAGAAUCAUAGAAUCAUAGAAUCAUAGAAUCAUAGAGUUGGAAGAGACCACAAGGGCCAUCGAGUCCAACCCCCUGCCAAGCAGGAAACACCAUCAGAGCACUCCUGACAUAUGGUUGUCAAGCCUCUGCUUAAAGACCUCCAAAGAAGGAGACUCCACCACACUCCUUGGCAGCAAAUUCCACUGUCAAACAGCUCUUACUGUCAGGAAGUUCUUCCUAAUGUUUAGGUGGAAUCUUCUUUCUUGUAGUUUGGAUCCAUUGCUCCGUGUCCGCUUCUCUGGAGCAGCAGAAAACAACCUUUCUCCCUCCUCUAUGUGACAUCCUUUUAUAUAUUUGAACAUGGCUAUCAUAUCACCCCUUAACCUCCUCUUCUCCAGGCUAAACAUGCCCAGCUCUCUUAGCCGUUCCUCAUAAGGCAUCGUUUCCAGGCCUUUGACCAUUUUGGUUGCCCUCCUCUGGACACGUUCCAGUUUGUCAAUGUCCUUCUUGAACUGUGGUGCCCAGAACUGGACACAGUACUCCAGGUGAGGUCUGACCAGAGCAGAAUACAGUGGCACUAUUACUUCCCUUGAUCUAGAUGCUAUACUCCUAUUGAUGCAGCCCAGAAUUGCAUUGGCUUUUUAGCUGCCGCGUCACACUGUUGGCUCAUGUCAAGUUUGUGGUCAACCAAGACUCCUAGAUCCUUUUCACAUGUACUGCUCUCAAGCCAGGUGUCCCCCAUCUUGUAUUUGUGCCUCUCAUUUUUUUUGCCCAAGUGCAAUACUUUACAUUUCUCCCUGUUAAAAUUCAUCUUGUUUGUUUUGGCCCAGUUCUCUAAUCUGUCAAGGUCGUUUUGAAGUGUGAUCCUGUCCUCUGGGGUGUUAGCCACCCCUCCCAAUUUGGUGUCAUCUGCAAAUUUGAUCAGGAUGCCCUUGAGUCCAUCAUCCAAGUCGUUGAUAAAGAUGUUGAAUAAGACCGGGCCCAAGACAGAACCCUGUGGCACCCCACUAGUCACUCUUCUCCAGGAUGAAGAGGAACCAUUGAUGAGCACCCUUUGGGUUCGGUCAGUCAGCCAGUUACAAAUCCACUGAGUGGUAGCAUAGUCAAGACCGCAUUUUACCAGCUUCUUUACAAGAAUAUCAUGAGGCACCUUGUCAAAUGCCUUGCUGAAAUCAAGGUAGGCUACAUCCACUGCGUUCCCUUCAUCUACCAGGCUUGUAAUUCUGUCAAAAACGAGAUCAGGUUAGUCUGACAUGACUUAUUUUUCAGAAAUCCAUGCUGACUGUUGGUGAUCACAGCAUUCCUUUCUAGGUGCUCACAGACUGUUUGCUUAAUGAUCUGCUCCAGAAUCUUCCCUGGUAUUGAUGUCAGACUGACUGGGCGGUAAUUAUUUGGGUCCUCUCUUUUCCCCUUUUUGAAAAUAGGGACAACAUUUGCCCUCCUCCAGUCUGCCGGGACUUCGCCUGUUCUCCAGGAAUUCUCAAAGAUGACUGCCAGUGGUUCUGAGAUCACAUCUGCCAGUUCUUUUAAUACUCUUGGAUGCAGUUCAUCUGGCCCUUGAGACUUGAAUACAUCUAAACUAGCCAAGUAUUCUUGUACUAUGUCCUUAGUUAUUCUGGGCUGUGUUUCCUUUGCUGAAUCAUUUGCUCCAAAUUCUUCAGGUCGGGCAUUGUUUUCUUUAUCGGAGAAGACUGAGGCAAAGAAGGCAUUGAGGAGUUCAGCCCUUUCUGUGUCCCCUGUUUGCAUUUCACCAUCUUCUCCUCUGAGUGACCCCACUGUUUCUUUGUUCUUCCUUUUGCUACGGACAUACCCAUAAAAGCCUUUUUGUUGCUUUUAACCUCUCUAGCAAUCCUGAGGUUAUGCUGUGCUUUUGCUUUUCUGACUUUGUGUCUACACGUGCUGGCUAUUUGUUUGAAUUCCUCUUUGGUGGUUUCCCCCUUUUCCAUUUUUGUACACAUCCUUUUUAAUCUUAACUCAGUUAAAAGUUCUUUAGAUAGCCACCCUGGCUUCUUUAGGCACCUUCCAUGUUUCUGUCUCAUUGGUAUUGCCUGACGUUGUGCUUUUAGUAUCUCCCUCUUAACAAACUCCCAGCCAUCAUGAACUCCCUUUCCUUUUAGUAUUACUGUCCAUGGGAUCUCACCCAGCACUUCCCUAAGUUUUAUGAAGUCAGCUUUCUUAAAGUCAAGAAAUUGAGUCCUAGUAUGCUUGGCUGCUCCUUUCCGCUGUAUAGUAAACUUCAGAAGAGCAUGAUCACUUGCGCCUAAUGAUCCUUCCACUUCUACCCCACUAACCAGGUCAUCAACAUUGGUUAGGACCAGAUCUAAAAUGGCUGUUCCUCUUGUUGCUUCUCCCACUUUCUGGACAAUGAAGUUGUCUGCAAGGCCAGUGAGGAAUCUGUUUGACCUUAUGCUCUUGGCUGAGUUUGACAUCCAACAAAUAUCCGGGUAAUUGAAGUCCCCCAUUACUACUAUCUCCCUUCCUUUUGCAUGCUUGGCCAUCUGUUCCAGGAAGGCAUCAUCUAUGUCCUCCGUUUGGCUUGGGGAUCUGUAGUAAACUCCCACAAUGAGGUCACUGUUAUUCUUCUCUCCCUUAAUUUUGACCCAAAUGCUCUCACUUUGGUUUUGAGGUUCUAAAUCUUGGAUCUCUUCACAGGUAUACACAUCCCUGACAUAUAACGCCACUCCUCCUCCUUUCUUGUCUGGUCUGUUUCUCUGAAAUAGAUUGUAUCCCCCCAUUAUUACAUUCCAAUCGUGGGACUUAUCCCACCAGGUUUCAGUGAUGCCUAUUAUGUCAUAUUUAGUUUGCUGUACCAAGAGCUCAAGCUCAUCUUGUUUAUUUCCCAUGCUUUGCGCAUUAGUGUACAGACAUUGAAGUCCAUUAAUCAUUCCCCGUGACUCUUAUUUAAGGAUUUUUCCUCCCACCACUAGGUCUGUGUGCUGUUUGCUCCAUUUGGUCUAUGACAUUUGGAUGAUCAUCUUCAUCAAUUGAUAGACUCCUACCUUCAGGAGCACUGUCUCCCUCCCCACAUUAGUCAGUUUAAAGCCCUCCUGAUGAGGUUUCUGAGAUUUUGGCAAAAACAUUUCUCCCAACCGUUGUGAGGUGCAGCCCAUCGCUUGCCAGAAGUCCAUCUUCAAGAAACUGCAGUCCGUGAUCUAAGAAUCCAAACCGUUCCUGUUUACACCAUUUGCGAAGCCAGCUGUUCACUUCCACUAUUUUCCCCUCUCUCCCUGGACCACGUCGUUCAACUGGGAGGACAGAUGAGAUCACAAUUUGUGCAUUUAAUUGCUUCAAUUUCCUGCCCAGAGCCUCGUAGUCUCUUUUGAUCUUCUGGAGGCUAUUGCUUGCAGUGUCAUUGGUUCCCACAUGAACCAAGAGGAAGGGGUAUUUGUCAGUGGGUUUUAUGAUUCCUUGCAGUCGCUCAGUUACAUCUUGGAUCUUAGCCCCGGGGAGACAGCACACUUCCCGAGACAUCUUGUCAGGCCCACAGAUCACUGCUUCUGUUCCCCUCAGUAGGGAAUCCCCUAUCACCACUACACGCCUCCUCUUAGGUUUGGUCGGGGUUCUUCCGUGAGCUGUCCGCUCCAAGGUCGCCUGCACAUUCCCUGAGGACUGACUUUGCUGCUCGUCUUCAUAUACCUGAUCGACUGUAAUGAGGAGAGAUCCUCAAAUGGAGUCUGCUCUUCGUCUUCCAUGCUAGGGGAGAGGACCUCAAAGCGAUUGUGUAUUUCUAAACAAUCAGAGCGAACCCUGGGCCUCCUACUUCUUUGAGUCACGUUUCUCCAUAUAUCUGGCUCCUGUGUUGGUGAACUAGCGUCCUUCUCAGGGAGUCCCCGUCUCCUCCUUGGUGGAGACGGUGUGCUCUGUUGCUUCCAAGAACAGCUCCAGCUCUCUAAUUCUUUGUAGUGUAGCUACACGUUCCUCCAGUUGCUGGACCUUGUCUUUUAAGAGGGCAAUCGACAUGCAAUUGCUGCAGGUAAAGCUGCCUGCAACCUUUGGCAAGAUGGCAAACAUUGCGCAGGAACCGCAGGCGACUGCAGCUGUUCCCUCCCCUCCAUCUUGUUAACGUGUCGUUGGGGGUGGCUACAGCAGUCCUCCAUCAUAAAAGCGUGGAGACAGGAAAAAUAACUCCCCCACAAAAAACCUAGGUCUCCCCCCACAAACGUUUGAGACUAGCUCCCCUAAAUCUACAAGAUGGAUCAAACUGCACGCACCACUAGGCAGCUAAUCAGCCACAAAGAAACACACACACAAGAAAACCCUUUUUGCUCCUUCUUCAACUGCUGCCCUGCAAUCUCUGAUAAGCUUCUCCCACAGCUAAUCACCUGCCUCAACAGAAACCCUGCCCCCUCUGACCUUUGCACAGGGAGAGCAGCCAAUCAGCCACAAAGAAACACACACACAAGAAAACCCUUUUUGCUCCUUCUUCAACUGCUGCCCUGCAAUCUCUGAAGAUAAACCUAUCUUGAUAAGAUAAACCUAUCUUGUCUUCCUCCAAGAAGGAUUUUAAUAUUUCUUGUGAUCCAUUUCGUAUCGUUUUCAUCACCUGUUUUUGUUGAGUUAUAUUGAUGACCCUGUUUGUUUCCACCAACAUACAACUACAGUGGUACCUCAGGUUACAGAUGCUUCAGGUUACAUACGCUUCAGGUUACAGACUCUGCUAACCCAGAAAUAGUACCUCGGGUUAAGAACAUUGCUUCAGAAUGAGAACAGAAAUCGCACGGUGGCAGCACGGCGGCAGUGGGAGGCCCCAUUAGCUAAAGUGGUGCUUCAGGUUAAGAACAGUUUCAGGUUGAGAAUGGACCUUGAGGAAGAAUUAAGUUCUUAACCCGAGGUACUACUGUAUAGCAAUGUUGGAAGGAAUAUUGUUGGAAGGAAUGCACUGUCUGGGUUCCCACCCAGCCAGCCAGGUUCUCAUUUAUCAUAAUGUACAAACAUUCAUGCUUCUGGUCCAUAAUGGCAUUAUUUAUAAACGACAGAGAAAAAUGGUCAAGGGUAUGGGGAGCAAGCAUUAUGUGACAUUAAAACCUAAACACAAACUAACACAAGAAUGGGCCAAGCUGUAAUCAAAAUAGACCUAACUAUAUCAGGAGUGCUCUGGUACCCUAUCCUUGUUCCAGUCAGAUAUUUUCCUUCAUUGGCUUAGUUUCAUUAAAGGGAGUGCAUUUUUUCUUUUGGGUUUUGUUUUGAAUUGAGGAAAGAAGGUUCAACAAGGUGAUUGCGUGUUGAUCCAUGUUAAAGAGUUUUUAAAAAUACUGCCCUGGAAAGUUGAAUAAUGUUCGUCCAUAAUGCAGGCAAAGGAUGGAAAGUGGCAAUUAUGAUGCAGAAAGAAGAUAUUAUCGAAGGCCAAGACCUCUGAUAUUUCUGAAUUGUUGAUAAAAUAUGGGGGACUGGCUGCUAUUGAACUUUUAUUAAAGCCGAGAUUUAUCUCUGGCAAUUUGAGCCAGCCAACCCAGGCUCAUCCAAAGAUAAAUCAACCCUUUGUAUAAUAUUCUCUGCCUAAGGUAAAUCUGAAGAGGUAGUUCUUCAGAGCUUAGUGGCACAGUGAAUGCACCAUUAAUUAUUCUUCCCUUUCACAUUAUCCAGUGCUCUUAACUUGAGGUAUGGUGUGUUUGAGGACAGAAGACAUCCUGUCAAAAUCAAAGUUCUGUGUCAGCAUUCUGUCUGGGUUCCUCACCACCACUUUUCUCUCUCUCCCAAAGUUUAGUGUUGAAAGACAAAUGCACUUUGGAAGAAGGACCUUGAGGACAGAAGCGGAACGAAAUUUUGGAGGGGAUCAACCUUCCAAGGCAGGAACUCACAUUGUCCACCUGUUGCCAUUGAAAGCUGUACAGUGGGCCAGCAGAUACAAAGGAAAACACGGGGAAUGUGUAUAAAGAAAAAGUUCUAGCACAUUGGCAGGUUCAAAUGUUGAGUAGUAAUAGCAGUAGUACUCAAGGUUUAGGUAAUAUGAAGAAGAAGAAGAAGAAGAAGAAGAAGAAGAAGAAGAAGAAGAGGAGGAGGAGGAGGAGGAGGAGGAGGAGGAGGAGGAGUUUGGAUUUGAUAUCCCGCUUUAUCACUACCCUAAGGAGUCUCAAAACAGCUAACAUUCUACUUUCCCUUCCUCCCCCACAACAAACACUCUGUGAGGUGAGUGGGGCUGAGAGACUUCAGAGAAGUGUGACUAGCCCAAGGUCACCCAGCAGCUGCAUGUGGAGGAGCGGAGACAUGAACCCUGUUUACCAGAUUACGAGUCCACCGCUCUUAACCACUACACCACGCUGGCUUUAUUAACAGUAGCAAUGAAGACAUUAUUGAUUUUUUUUUUUGUCACUUUAUAUUUCCUGUGGCAGCCCAAAGUGACUCAGAACAAAAUGAACAGGCAGACUGAAAACUACACAUAGAUACAUUAAAACCAAGUGGAAAAAAGAAAUACAUUUAAAAACAUCCUGGUUACUUUUAAAAGGCAACAGAUAGUUAAAGGCAAAAUGCCUGGUUAUAGUGGAAAGGUUUUUCCUGGCACCUAAAGAGAUAUAAUUACCUAUGUUGCCAGGUCAGCCUCUCUGGGGAGAGCAUUCCACAAACAGGGAGCCACUGUAGAAAAGGCCUGUUCUCGUGUUGCCACCAUCUAGAACUUUCAUAGAGGAUGCACAUGAAGAACAGCUUCAGAUGGUGAUCGCUGGUUCCGAGUCAGUUCAUAUGGAGAGAGGUGGCCCUUGAGGUGUUGUGGUAUAAAGCUGUGAGGUUAAAACCAGCGCUUUGAAUUGGACCUGGAAACUAAUUGGCAGCUGGUCCAGUCGGGCCAGGAUUGGUGUUAUAUGCUCAAACCACCUUGCCCUGGAGAGCAAGUUAUAGUAAUAACAGUAGUAAAUUAAGCUGAAAUCAGCUGCUUGCUGAGCAUUCAGGAAGCUCCACGCAAAGGACUUUGUGAGCUCUGUGCUUCUCAAAUGCCAACUAUAUGUCUUACACAGCAUUUUCUAAGUGCCUAGUGAUCAGAUGGUAUGUUUGCAUGAAGUUAAACGACUUACUAUCUCAACCGCCCCACAUUCCUGUAAGCAAAAGCAACCCACCAGCAGGGAAUCUGGCAAAGCACUUCUGACAAGAAAGUACUGGGGAGAGAUGCAAUUCUCCAUGAACAUCACUGAAGUCAGUUGCCAUUAGAAGGGACAGUAUUUGCUCUCUCAAUGGGCACAAGUGUCAGUCUGCCUGUUGCCCAUGUAGGUCUUCAGUCCUCUGGUCUUGGCAAGUGUAUGUUAUUGUUUUCCCCAGACAGAUUUGGGCCUCAAACAAAUCUUCACCUUGUGGAAUACUUACAUUUUAAACCAUUAAGUGUGUGCUGUGCUGCAGAAGACAAAACUCUUGGGGAACAGAACAAAUACAGUCUCUUUAAACACCACCCUUCCUCAACCUGAUGCCCUCCAGAUACUUAAUAUUGAUAUGAAUCUUUUGGGGGUGGUCUUCUGGGGCAUGGUGUCAUCAACAUGUAGAAGACAUCCCACUCUACUUCUCUAUACUAACUAAACCAGAUGGAGCUGUCUAGGUGCUUGACUGGUGCCUGCAUGCAGUUAUGGGUUGGAUGAGGACCAAUAAACUAGAGCUAAAUCCUAACAAGACGGAGACAUUGUUUGUAUGUAGUUCAUGGGGUUGAGAACUGGGUGAUCAAACUGUUCUAGAUGAAGUUGCUCUUCCCCUGAGAGAACAGGUUUGUAGCCUGGAGGUAACCAUGGAUCCAGUGCUGUCACUUCAGCCUGUAUACACUGUAGUUUGUUAAGAGUACUGAGAGUAGCAUUAGGAGAAAUGGGGUUAGGAGAACCCUAUUCCCCUCAAACAGCUACAAUUUCCAGAGUUCCCUGGGAAAAUGGGAUUGUUGAACCACAAAAAUAAAUAUUGCAUCUGAAUAUGUGUAAAAGGCUCAAGGUUUUAUUUAUCCUCUUAUUUUGCUCCUUCCAGACAAACCAGCUUGAAUCCUGGCAUAAUUAAUUGGAGAUAAAAGGCUGAAUAUUUAAACUAUUGCUUUUAUUAUAAUUACACUGGCGCACAAAUAAAUAAGCACUAAGUUAUUGUAAAAUAUUGUCAAUGCACGAAAGGAAACAAAGCUGAUUUUCAAACAACAUCUUAUUACUUCAGAAGUAUCAAAGUACAUUUAAUUACAGUUUACUUAAAAAAAGAAUCAAGUACAAAAAUGAAAAGAAAUAAAUAUGUAUUCAUACUGUGUAUAUAGAAAUGGCUAAUAUAUGAUUACAGUUAUCAUCUAGCUACUCCGUACACAUUUCAGGCACAUACCUGACAUUUCUAAUGAAAUAUGAAAAAGCAAUAUGACAUUCAGUUUUAAAAUAUCGGUAAACAUAUUACAUUGGAAUGGACAUGUUACGGUUUCAUUUCCUUUAAAAACCCUGUUGCUUAAAAAUGUAGGGCCAUUGGCCGCUUAAAAAAACCCAACAUACUAUUUAAUACCAUCAGCUAUAAAUUAAGGAGGGGAGCAAUAAAGGAAACAUACAUUUGCUAAUAUACGUAAACACAUUUUUAGUGCAAGAAUUAACAAGACCUGUGACCUUACUGUGCUUUCUUGAAAUCACAGUGCACUUGACACAAAUUGCUACACUAGAAUGUUGAACUUUAGAAAUUUAAAGCAAAGUUAAGUGCAUACCAAACAUUUUCGUAUAUACAGUCAGUAUAAGUGUGUGGGUAUAUAUGUGUGACCUGGAUGUUAGAGAUUGCAUAUUUAAACACAGCUUUUUAUGAGCUCCCCAUGCUAAUCCUCGUCAUUCUCCCUGUACAGAAAUAGGAGAGAAUCAAGAAAAUGCUUAAAUAGGAUUUGGUAGUAGUGGAGGCAUGCUAUUUCUUUGUGAGCAGCACCAUCUCCUUAUAUCAGGAACACCCACUUUUGUGUUUUCAGGAAUGAUGUGUGAUUUGGGAGAGUGAUGGCUUCAUCCCCAAACCAUUUGUGUUUUUCCAAUGUUUUCCUGUCAAACGCUUCAAGGGAUUUUUGGAGCAUUGAACAGGAAUGCCUGCAAAGUCCAAAUGGGUAAUAUCUGCCUGCCCAAUAAAGGGGAAAAAAAUUGAAAUGCCCUGGAAAGUGUGCGAUAGCACUUGCUUUGAUACAACCUCAUCUAAUCACCCUGUAAUCAAAUCUGAAUGACUGCUCAUUAAAUACCCAGUGUUGUCUAAUCUCCCUGCAAACAAAUCAAGAUGAAUCUUCCAUAAACAGGUAAUUACGGAGCAACCCCAGAAUAAGGCAGUGUCCUAUGUUGCUAAGCAUGCCCCAAAAUGUUCAGAGAAUUUCUUUCCCUCACCCCCCACCGAAAAAGCAGCAGAAAAUCUGCCUAUGUUUUUAUAGGGGGGGAUAACGUUUCAUGAACCUUAAGGGUGGGGAAGGAAGACAAAGCUCUACUAUAUAUAUAUAAUCACAGAUGUGCUAAGGCAAGUUACUCCUAUGUAUGAAACGGCAUGCUGAGUCAACAUAACUUCAGAAUGACAACACCACACACAGGUCAGUUUACCAUGAGUUAGAGGACCUGGCUGGUGAGAUCUUUUUACAAAUAGCUGUGGAUACGAUCACUUUACAUUAUAUUUGUGUGAUUAGACAUUUUAGGGCUGAAGAAAGGUUUAAAAACUAAUCUAAGACUUGCUUGGUGGUCUACAGGCAUGUCCAAGGGUGCUGAUUUGUGUUGCUAAGAGCAGCAUUCAUUAAAAUGGCACAUUGUUUCCGGAAUGGCACAUGGGGAUGCAGUGCCUUUCUCAGACUGACUUCAACAAGCCAAGCAACUGAUCCCUGCAAACUGGAAUUUGGAUUUUCCAUGUUACAUAUGCCUACAUCAAUCUUCCAUUGGGAGCUCAAGUCAUUCCCCUAACUUCACCCACAUGAACCUCCAAAACCAUUUCCCAUUCAUCUAUUUCCCUUGUGGCCAAUCAUGUUCUUAUGGCUAAGGAGAAUGAGCACUCUCUCUCCACCCAUUGCCCCUACCCAGUACCUGGUGUUGAUGCAGGCAUAGUAGCAAAUCAGGAACAUUUGAAACACACCUUUUUCAGCAUUCCUGAUACAUAUUAGGGACACUGGGGAAAGCACAUUUCCCAGCAUCCCUCAUGCUCGUCUCCUCAUUUCUGCCAGCAUCAGCACCAAGUAUGCAUAAAGAUCCCCAACAAGAGGAAAAUUCCUCCCUUGUGCCACCAGAACUUAAACAGCCUCAGGAUAAGCAAAUGGGAAUGGAUUUCUGGAGACCUCCUUGCCUUUCUCCCAUCGCUGGAGCAAAUCGAAAGGUGGGUGUCGCAUAGGAUUAAAGCUGGAGACACUUGCAUUUGUGGAGGGAGGAGGUGGAAACAAGUAGGUGAGUCAGAGGGACUCGGUGGCAAGUUGUGGAAGGGCUGUGGCUCAGUGGUAGAGUAUGAGUUUUGCAUGCAGAAGGUCCCAGGUGCUAGCACCUCCAGGUAUGGCUGAAAAUGUCCCCCAUCUGAAACCCUGGAGAACUGCUGCCAAUUAAUGUGGACAGCACUGGUCCAGAUGGAUCAGUGGUCUGACUUGUCGUAAGGUAGAUCCCUAUGUUUCUAACCAAGUGAGGUGCUUGAUGGGCGGGCUAGUGGAUGGAUGGAAGGAUUAGUGAAUUGGAGACAAGUUCUUCUCCAACUGCAAUUCAAAUCCAAGUCAGAAAGAAUUCAAGAGUCAUAGUGCUUGCUGUGCCUUGGAGGUGAGGGUUAUAGGCCCUUCAGGAGUCUCGAUCCCUGUCCAAGUAAUUUCAAAGCUAAAUGCCAUCUCUGUGCAGAAGGAGAAGCAGGAUGACUCUUAGGAGGACAAAUUCUUGGACCGCUCCUGGUUAUCUUAAGAAAUGAAGUCCUGCACACUUCAAAAGAAGUGACAAUUUUGCAGUAUUUCCAAGUAUCUAUUUCAACAUUUUCUUUGCUAAGAAUGUAACGGUACUUUCUUUUGCAUAUAACAUUUUCUUGGAUUGCUUCCAACAUGCUUGUACUUUGUUUUCUGACUUGGGGCAUGUGAGCAGGUGUAAACUAGCAACUGAAUCACAUACCCAUUUUUGCUGCUGCAUAUGCACAGAGUGGCAACAUGCAUGCAUGCGUUUGUGUGUGUGUGUCCUUAUGUUGUGGAUAAAACAUAAAUAAUGAUGCUUGAGUAACUACUAUAUACACUUAUAGACCCCCACACUACUUCUUCUUUUAAAUCUGAUACAGAAAUUGUCAAUUUGGACAUCAAAAUAUACAUUAGUUAUAAAAUAUUUAAAAACUUUAUUUUUUUUAUUUGUCUGGAAAGAAACUACUAUUGGUAAAGUAAUAAUCAAUUUUAUCAAUAUAGAUUACAAAAUAACCUACUAAAAUUUUGUUUCAUUUUUGGUCUUAUUGAUCAGCAGUUGCACUUGUGGCACUGCUGUCAAUAUCAUUUUAAAAGAAAAAAGAAAAAGCCAAUAUGACAAUAAAUUCAAAUGACACAUUUUUCUUCUUCUUCUCAGAGAAUAUAAUAUUCUUAAAAUGAUUGUUAAAAGAGGAACCCUUUCAUGCUGCCAAACUUUUAGAAGCAUCGAUAAAAAUUUAAAUAUAUAAAAUAUAUGUGAUCACAUCAACUCUACGGCAAUAUGGAUUUUUAAAAAUCUUAUCCUACACAGUGCCUUCUAGAAGAUACUUUAAUGCACAGAUCUCACCCUCAUGUACAGCAUAUAAACCAUCUCUUUCUCCUGCUAAAACCAAGAGGUCAUAAUUCUUUGGUCAUGACAUUAUAGUCUAGUAAGAUGGGUGUGAUGUCACAGAGGACUAUGACCCAAUUACAGGAUCAACCAGGAAUACGACAAUGGUUACUUGAGAGAAAUGUGCUCUACAGACCCAAUCCAAAGGGUCAGACUUUCCAAGAUGAAGUCAACCUUUCUCAUUGACUUUAGUGAGAUUUCACACUAACUCAUUCUAUAACUGGACACAAAAUACAAUAUAUUAGAAAAGUAACGUGAACAUUGUGAACGGAUAUUCUUUUUUUUUUGUUACCUUUACUUUCAGGGACCCAAGACAAAUGAGGAUGGGAAUUAUAGCUGCAUUAUCACCAUUUCAACCUGAUAAUGAAUAGAGGAUAACUGAAUCAUGUGAUGUAUACAAUUCCUUAAUCACAGUGAACCCUGGUCUCCAAAAAUCAUCUGAAUAGAAGAAGGAAGAGUUCUCAGUUGAAGUUAACCUUUCUGCAGCAAAGCUAACUCACAUUUCUAGCUAAACUACUUGAUCCGUUUUGCUCAAGACGUUCACCCUGAUCCAGAUGGUUGAUCCAUGUGAAGUAGUCUAUUUCUUUGUGCAGAUCCUCCU